CGUGUGCAAAUAUCUAUAUUGGAUCAGUUAAUAGACAUUUUCUGGAUCUUAGGUAAAGCAAUGAUUUUAAGACUAACAAUGACAUGCUUGAUAACUAGUUGAUUUGUUUCUAGCAUAUUAAAUCAAUUAUCAUAUGUUUUAAAUUUAGUAUUUAAUGCAAGUCAAUAAAAUCACUGACUUCAAAUUCUACUUUCGUUUUCGCAUUGCAUUUAAUGUUAAAAUAUUCAAACAUUUGGUAUGUAAAUAAAUAGCACAAAUAGAUAACAUAAACAAAACCACGAACAUGUAGCAUUGACCCAAUAAUUUCCGUUCUUCUUUUAUCUUGUUUUAAAUGAAACUUUGAAAUUGUUAACACCACCAAUAUAAUUUUGAGUACAGACAAGAAUGUCCACAAUUGUGUUGACAUUUAUAAAUACUUUGUAUAAAACACUGAUUGAACACUUUGAAUCUCUUACCGCUUUUACCUAAAACACGAAUUUCUUUCCUUCAAAAAAUUUGCAAGGUAUAGACUCAAAAAUAAAAACAAGUCAUGAAUAUAUCAUAUACUUGAGUAUUGUGAUGCUUCGCCAUGUUGAAUCGAAGGGCAAAUAAAUACAAUAGAUAGAUUCUUCAAGAUCGGCUUAUCGUUAUCAUUGACAGGCCAUUUGAAAUGCCAUGUACAUAUGAUAGUUUGGAAGAGAGAUUAAAGUGACAUAUUAAGUUUUGUAACAGGUACCAGAGUUUCAGCAUAGGUUCAAUAACAUGCCGAGAAGUUGACGGUCGCCAAAAAUGCGUUAUCGGAUAUAGCACCUUCAGUUGCAGGGUAUUUAUAAAUACUCUAGUAAACACUGCACAGCCGAGCGGGUUUUCCUCAUAAGCAAGGAUGUAAGAACUACUUGAACGAAAGAAGAUCAAAGUAGUCAUGGGAUGAGCAUAUUUCUAUAGUACCUAGUCAAAGGCUUUUAAUAUGAAAUGUUGUGAUUUUGUAUUUAACCGCGAUAUUAUACUCAUCAGGAAGUACGUACUGGUCACUUGUGUUAAAACCUAUACUGGAUCAGGUGAUAGACAUUUUCAGGAUUUCAGGCAAAGCAAUGUUUGGAACAAAUACAAUGACAUGCCUGAUAAGUAGUUGAUUUGCUUCUAUCAAAUAGAAUCUACAUGUGUUAUAAUCAGUUUUAAAUUCAUAUUUAUUGCAAGUCAAUAAAAUUAAUGACUUUAAAUUCUAGUUUCGUUUUUCAUGCUUUUGCUUCGCGUAUAAGGUUAAAAUAUCCAAACAUUGGGUAUGUGAAUAAAUAGCAUAAAUAAACAACAACAAAAAACCACGACGUGCAGCAUUGACAAAAUCCCUCUUUUUUUUUUUUUUUUUUUAUCUUAUUCUAAAUGAAAAUUCGAAAUUGUUAACACCACCAAUGUUAUUUUGAUACAGACAAGUCUGUCCACCUGGAAAAUGUUCAGAUCUUAAGAGCUGCAUUUGCAAUCAUUGACAAUUAUAAAUACAUUGUAUAACACUAAUUGAACACUAUGUAUCACCUACCGCUUUUAAUAAAAAUACGAAUUUCUUUCCUUCAAAAAAUAUACAAGGUAAAGGCUAAAAAAUAAAAAUAAAACAUGUCAUGAAUAUAUUAUAUACUAGUACUUGAUAUUGCAGUCCUGAACCAUGUUAAAGUGAGGGGCAAUUAAAUACAAUAAAUAGGUUCUUUAAGAUUAUCUCAUCGCUAUCAAGGGCAGGACAUUUGAAAUUCCACAACUAGGAACUUGAUAAUUUGCAAGAUGUAUUGAAGUGACAGAUUUAGUGUUGUAACAGGCCAUCUAUAGUUCCUUCAGAGAGUUUUUGCAAUAUAACGUGCCGAGAGCUUAAAAUUCGCCUAACACGAGUCUUUAGAUUAAGCGCCCUUAUUCAGACCUGAAGUUGUCAGUCGACCAAAAUUUGUUUUUUUAAACACUAUUUUUAACACUGCACAGCAAAGUGAGCUUACCACAUUAGUAAGGAUGUUAUAAAUUGAACAGGAGAAGUCAUUAGAUGAGCAUAUUUCUAUACCUUGUUUAAUCUUUUUAAAACCCAGUUGUAUGUGAAAUAUCAACAAUACAGAUUCAUCUUGUCAAAAUUUCUUACGUUUUCAUGACAAAAUGUUUCAGGAGGAACGACCGUUGCAGAAAUUAAAGGCGAUCUUCGAUGACGAUAAAAUAAAGCCUGCCAAAAGAAUUUUCUAGUCAGAAGUAUUACCCAUCAAGUUUGAAACUAACAGAAAAUAUCAGUGAAACGGAAAAAAAAUCGGUUUGCUCGAACAUUUUGUGACAAGCUUGCAUAUGCUCAUGUGACUUCAUAGAACCUUAAUUUGUAUUUACUCAAAAAAGUUAAUCGGUCCUGUUAUGAAAUACAAUUGAUAUGUAUAUCCAGCGUAGGUUCAAUGUUAAUAAGAAUGGGAUUUGUCUUCCCUAUAAAAUACUUUUUAAAAAAGCAAUUUUAUAGUUUUUACUUCCUUUUUUGUAGCAUGUCGAGUAAAGUAACUGAAUGUGGAGUAUGCAACUACCGCAAAAUCAGCAAACCAUCUGUGGUCUGGUGUUCAGAGUGCGACGAAGGACUUUGUGAGGAGUGUAAAGAGCAUCAUACAGCUUCAAAGGCGACUAGAAGCCAUAGUAUUGUUUUACAAUCUGAUUACCAGAAUUUACCUUCUGAUAUAUUGAAAUUCACGAAAACAUGUUUAGAACACGAUGAAAAAUACGUUAUAUUCUGUAAGAAGCAUGAUAGUCCGUGUUGUAGUCGAUGUGUUGUUGAAACCCAUAACGACUGCAAAGAUUUAAAUGCGAUAGAUGACGUCAUUAAGAAUGUAAAAUCUUCAAGUGCAUUCUUAGAGAUGGAACAAAUGUUGACAGAACUUUCAGAAAACUUACAGAAAAUAAGAAAAGAUAGACAGCUAAACAUUGAAAGUCUUAAGGAAAACAGAACAAAAAUAGAAAAAGAAUUUCAGCAGACACGAAGCUUGAUUGACAAACAUCUGGAUAAGUUGCAGGAAAGUCUGAUAAAAGAGUUGUAUGACACUGAGGAAAAGGAAAGCACAAAAAUUAAAAACAUAAUAUCAUCCAUUCAAGAAAAUGAAAGAAAGAUUACCGAAUGCAAAUCUACUUUAGAUAGAAUUAAACUACAUGCAUCAGACCUUCAGACGUUUCUGGCAAUGAAACACAUCCAGCAUGAUGUCAGGAACAACGAACACUUUUUGGAAUCCUUGAUAAAAGAAAAGAAAAUGAAUAAUGUUUCCAUUACCUGGAAAAACGAAACUGCCUUAGAGAUUAUACCUGUCCAAAUCAAGAAAAUGGGAACCAUAAUACUAGAUACCAGGUCAGGGAAUGCAACAUUAACAAACAGGAAGAACACACAAGCACAGAUAAUGAUGCCUAUUACACAUGUUACUUCCAUUGAUGAUAUCAAACUUACUUUAAUACAGACCGUGAAAACAAUUGGUGGUGAUAUCAAAAGUUGUUGCUUAUUACCUGAUGGAAGAAUGAUUUUUUCCUGCUAUCUAAGUAACAAAACUCACGUGUUCAAAACCAGCGGUACUUUCGAUUUUACACUUGAGACAGGAUCCCUAACAUCUCAUAUCCACUUAAUCGGACAAAGUCAAAAACUUGUCGUAACAACUGGGAAUUACAACCAAUGCAUUAUGAUUAUCAACAUGAAAAACAGAAAAACUGAGAAAUCUAUUGAUGUUGGAUCAGAGAUUUAUGGAAUAGUUCAUAAAGAUGGACAAUUGUUUUAUAAUGGAUAUCAUGACGGAUUGUGUGUUGUGAGUCUAGAUGGCUUUGUAAAAUUUAUUAGACGAUUGGUAAAUGUUACUUUGAAACAAAAUAGCAGCAUUGCAAUAUGUUCAAAUCAACUUUAUUUUAUAGGCGAAGAUGAUUCAAUAUCAUGCUGUGAUCUUCAAGGUGAUGUUAAAUGGAAAUUAGAGCAGAAAACAUUUCUUUCGAACGCACGAGGCAUAACAGUGGACAAUUACGGACAUGUCUACGUAUCAGGAUUUUGGUCUCACAAUGUAGUCGUAAUUUCACCAGAUGGUAACAAACAUCGAUUACUGCUGUCAGAGAAAGAUGGUCUCCAAAGUCCACAGUCCUUGUUCUUCGAUCCAAUAAAUAACAAAUUACUUAUUACAAAUCAACAAACUAACGCAUUUGUUUAUGACGUUUCAAAAUGAUCAGCAAGACAAGCUCUACAAUUGAGACAAAUAGUAGAAAUCGUGCAGCGACUUCUGAUCUGAAUUGUUGCCCUUUCGUGACGAUUUAUACUCAUUAUUUGCGGUUUUUUUAUAUGAUAACAUCAUCUUAGAUAAAAAAAAAAAAUAAUAAAAAUUAUCAGAAAGACAAGAUCUAUUAACAAGUCAACUUUUGCUGAAAGUUAGUAGACUGUCAAUCUUAACCGAGUGCCUGUCAUUAAGUUAGGAUAUUGUUACUCUCUUUUGUAUAUUUUGAGCAGAAACCGAAGAAGAUAGAUAGAAACUAAACAGACCAAAUGAUCAGCAAUACAAGCUCAACAAAGCAGAGAUUUUUCUUAUGAAGUCUUUUCUCGUCUACAAGGAUGAAGAGUGGAUGGAUAUACAUAUAGACCAAGAUGAUCUCUUUAGGGCUUCUAUUUUUUUCAAAUCAUGAGUCAGUGAUCAAGGUUAAGUUUUCGUGAUAAGUAUCGAUUCUCAGAUACUAUAUUCAAUAUCUCAACUAUAUUUUGUGUAAAUCAAGACUACAAUGAAUACUUGUUUUUAAAUAACAGAGUUUUUCUGAUCUCGAACUCAUUUUCAGAUUUAAUCCACCAUUUUCUUCAUUAGAAAAUGCCUGUAAUAAGUCGGGAAUAUGGCAGUUGUUGUCCAUUCGUUUGAACUUUUGAUUUUGCCAUUUGAUUAGAGACUUUCCGUUUUGAAAUUUCCUCGGAGUUCAGUAUUUUGUUAUUUUUAUUUUUUCAUGUUUCACUUAUCAACACUAAGUUCGAUGUAACAGCAAAUAUACUUUACUCCAAGGAAAAUUAGAAUCUGAUCGAAAGUCGCUUAAACCCAUCAAACAAAUGGAAAACACCUGUCAAAUGUCUGACUUGACACAGGCAUUUCCUUAUGUGAAAAUGGUAAACACAGUACCUCAACAAUAUGUGGCUAUAGAAUGAUUGUAAGGUGUGAAAAUCUA
Molecule: long non-coding RNA, 5139 nt
Filed under: Mytilus galloprovincialis (Mediterranean mussel)
Lineage: Eukaryota; Metazoa; Mollusca; Bivalvia; Mytilida; Mytilidae
Source: RNAcentral